UGUUUUUGCCCCAAAAUAUCCCUCAAUGGCGUGCAAUGGUGGUAUCAAAGCGAAUAACGGACAAUUGAAUUGAAUAUUAACAUGACUAAUUUAGAGGGAUUAGCAGCACAGGAAGCCAAAAUAGUCUGACAUUAUCAUAUACGUCUCAAGUUUCUACGCCUCCCAGGCCAGUAAACAUGAGAGGGUGGGAAUCAAGUGGGAUGUGCUGCUCCAAACUUUUCUGAGGCAAAGCUUAGAAACUUCAGCACAGGCUGUGACAGAACUGACGCAUCUGAUCCUCUCUGCUGAUCUGAAGACAUGUCUGAGUUAGGCUCCAUUGACAAUCCUGUGAAGUUCAAGGAUCAAGACUACGACUCCCUGCUGCAGAAGUGUCUCAAAUCUGCACUUCUGUUCUCAGACACGGUGUUUGCAGCGAACCAAAGCUCCCUCGGUAUUCCUGUGGAUUCUGAUCCUAAAAAGGCAGUAAAGUGGCUGCGCCCGAAGGAAAUCACAAGUAAUGCUGUCUUUGUCGAGGGCACCAUGGGCACCACCGAUAUCUGCCAGGGCCAGCUGGGUAACUGCUGGCUGCUGGCGGCCCUGUCCUGUCUCACCAUGCACCCGACUCUGUUUGUCAAAGUGGUUCCAUCUGGACAAAGCCUAAGUGAAUCCUACGCCGGCAUCUUCCGUUUCAGGUUCUGGCAGUAUGGUGAGUGGGUGGAGGUGGUAGUGGAUGACAGGCUGCCUGUGAGAGAGGGCCGUCUGCUUUUCAGCUACUCUCGCACCACCAACGAGUUCUGGAGCGCCCUGGUGGAGAAAGCUUAUGCCAAGCUGAUUGGUUCUUAUGGCAGUCUAAAAGGGGGGAUUAUCUCAGAGGGAAUGGAGGAUUUCACAGGGGGCAUUGCGUACUCCCUCCCCGUGUCUUCUCGGCCCCCACGCAUGCUCUGGAGAGCCAUCACUGCUGCCCUGGCCAGGAGCAGCCUGAUCAGCUGCUUCAUACAUGCUACGAGUGUGAAGGACAUUGGCAUUGUGACAUCAGAGGGUCUCAUUAAAGGUCAUGCCUAUGCUAUCACUGAUACAGAUAAGGUCCAGAGGGAGUCUGAAGAGGUCUUACUGGUGAGGCUGCGUAACCCCUGGGGGUUUAUUGAGUACUGUGGACCCUGGAGUGACAGGUGUAAAGACUGGGACCUUAUAGACAGUGCUCAGAAGACCCGACUUGAGUUGGCCAAAGUUGAAGAUGGAGAAUUCUGGAUUGGAAUAGAGGACUUUUGCCGACUGUUUAAUACAGUGGAAAUGUGCAGCGUGAAUCCGGACUCUAUGUCAGGGGAGGCGAGUGAUGACACGACCACCCCGUCCUGGACGCUGAGCUCACAUCAAGGCACCUGGGUCCCAAUGUGCUCUGCAGGGGGCAGCCGAAAAUACCCCAGAUCUUUCUGGAAAAACCCUCAGUUUCAGAUGACUCUGUCUGAGAAAGAUGUGGAUGACCAUGACUAUGGAGAGGAUGAUGAAGUGGAGGAAGGGGAUGGAGAAGAGGAUGAAGAAGUCACAGUGGCUCCGGUGAAAAAGACAGAGAAACUGGGAGAGAAAAAGAAGAAGUGCACGGUACUGGUGGAGCUUCUCCAGAAAUACCGCAGACAGAAAGAUAAAGUCAACUUCCUCUACAUCGCAUUUCACAUCUACAAGGUCCCCUCUGAGCUGAAGGACAAGCCAGGAUCUCUGGACCAGCAGUUCUUCUCCAAUAACCGUCCGGUUGCUCGCUCUGGAAAGUACCGCAGCAUCAGGAGCGUGUGGCGGAAGGUGCACCUGGAGCCUGGCAGUUAUGUCAUCCUAGCCUCCACAUACAGGCCCAACCAGCAGGGGGAGUUCUUCCUCCGCAUUUACACCAAAACCGGCAACAUACAGGGAUUCCAGGAUUUCCCCUGCACCAACAACUACUCUGUGAUGGUCAUGUCAAAGCCAGUCUUACCCGAGGACCAGUUCAGGGUGCAGAAGUGGUUUGAUGAAAAGGCUGGAUCUGAUGACAGAGUGAAUGCUGUGCAAUUUAUGAAUCUAGUGAACUCAGUGCUGGAAAAAGACUAUGAACUUCCCCUGGAGACCUGCAGACAGCUCAUCUUUGGAGAAGAUACUGGAGGCAGAGGCCGUCUGAACAGAGCUCAAGCUGAGAAGCUGCUCACUUCCCUACGCAAUCUGCAGUCUAUCUUUUUUCAGUUUGAUGAGGAUUCGUCAGGAACUAUGAGUCCGUUUGAACUCAGUUUGGCUCUGAAUGCUGCAGGUGUGGAGUGUGACAAUGUUGUGGAGCAGUUGUUGUGGGAGAGGUUUGGUGCCGGUGAACAGUACCUGCCCUUCUAUGGCUUUGUGUCUUGUGUUGCCAGACUGCAGGUGCUCUUUGAAUCAGCAGAGAAUGGCGGAAAAAAACACAAAAACAUCAAGCGAGUGGCAGUGCUGUGGACAAAAAAUGCCUUCUUAUUCAGAGAGGUCAGAGGGGAAUGGCCAGACUGGUUCAAGCGGACAGGAAGGUGGCAGUAACUGAAAUAACCAGACGUUACCGCAGCGCUAUGCAGAAGAGCCUUUCUAAACACAGUGUGUCAAAUGUGGACAUUCUACAGCAGCAGAAGAUCAUGUUCCAGUCCUGUCAGCUAAGAAUAGGACACCGAGGCUACAGUGGACACAAACUCACCAAAACUUGUCAGUAGAAGACUGGAAAAACAUUGCUUGGUCUAAAGAGUCCAUUCCUUCAGUGACAUCCAGAUGAAGUUUCUUGCUGACAGUGUGAAUCUAUGGCUGCUUCCUACACAUCUCUGGCUUAGAUGUAUCCUUUAAUGCCCUUUAAGCACUGGAAUGCUGCUCAUUCAAACACACACAAACACAAACAAAAUGAACAUUGAAUCAGAUACGUCACUUUCAUAAAGGGUUGAGGACAAAAACACUAUCCAUUAUGAUUCAUAUGCUAUUUAUUAUUAGAAAUUUGUAGCCAUUUUGUUAUUUAUUAAAUUUGUUAUAUUGAAUAUACGGUUUGCCCAUUAACAUAUGGUUAUCACUGUCUGCAUCCAGUGUGAAGAUCUCUACGAGUCGGAGACCAACCCAGAGGUGAAGGACAAGGGCAUCAACGCUUGGCUGCUCAGGCUGUUGGCUGUGUGAGCCUGUCCAGACCCGACACCUCAGCGGGACAGACCUGCUAGGCCAAGACUACUCUGACGUCAUCCAUCUGGGCCUACGUCUCCAACAUCACCCCCUUCUAUCUCAUUUGUGAUCUGCGGACCUUUGCCCUGCAGUUGCAUCCACCCACUCACUGCUCCAUCAGUUGGGGUCUAUGACCAUGUAGGUCAUUACUGCCUGGUUACAAAACAUUUCAUCCCCAUUAGAUAUUUUAAAGAGAUAUUUUACUUGUAAAUUAACAUUCUGUCAUCAUUUACUCACCCUCAUGUCGUUCCAAACCCAUAUGACUCUCAUUCAUCUGUGGAACACAAAAGAAGAUAUUUAGCAGAAUGUCCAAGUUGCUCUUUUUCCAUAUAAUAGAAGUGAAUACAGACCAGGUGAUCACCAUUCACUUUCAUUGCAUGGAAAAGAGCAGCUUGGACAUUCUGCUAAAUAUCUACUUUAGUGUUCCACGGAAGAAAGAAAUACAUAGUGAAGAUAAAUGAUGACAAAAUGUAAAAUGUUUGGUAAACAAUGUGUUUCAAUCUAUAUCUAAAAAGCAUUUUUUAAUAGAGCUACCAAUUUAAUGAUUUAGUAUGAUUCAGUGGUAGCAAAUAUUGAUAUAUUUCUUGUAACAAGCAGCCUAAUUGCUUUUUUUUUUUUCAUUCAUAUAGCAUGACUCGUACUUCCUCUUGUACUUUGUUUCCCUCUUAUGAACAUUUAUGUCUCUCUGCUUAAUGUCUUCAGAAGUUGCGGAUGUUUUUAUGCUUCCAAAUAUAAAAGCACAAGUCAUAAUCUUU
This is an RNA transcript of Megalobrama amblycephala (Wuchang bream), 3911 nucleotides long. It is a transcript of the gene named calpain 12, with no coding region annotated. The record is from RefSeq and is a predicted model, not a curated record. The transcript is spliced from 22 exons. Lineage: Eukaryota; Metazoa; Chordata; Actinopteri; Cypriniformes; Xenocyprididae.